Molecule: ribosomal RNA, 464 nt
Filed under: uncultured bacterium
Lineage: Bacteria
Description: partial 16S ribosomal RNA
Rfam family: Bacterial small subunit ribosomal RNA
Source: RNAcentral
ACGCACGCUGGCGGCGUGCUUAACACAUGCCAGUCGAACGGAAAGGCCCUGCUUGCAGGGUACUCGAGUGGCGAACGGGUGAGUAACACGUGGGUGAUCUGCCCUGCACUUCGGGAUAAGCCUGGGAAACUGGGUCUAAUACCGGAUAGGAGCCAUUUUUAGUGUGAUGGUUGGAAAGUUUUUUCGGUGUAGGAUGAGCUCGCGGCCUAUCAGCUUGUUGGUGGGGUAAUGGCCUACCAAGGCGGCGACGGGUAGCCGGCCUGAGAGGGUGGACGGCCACAUUGGGACUGAGAUACGGCCCAGACUCCUACGGGAGGCAGCAGUGGGGAAUAUUGCACAAUGGGCGCAAGCCUGAUGCAGCGACGCCGCGUGGGGGAUGACGGCCUUCGGGUUGUAAACUCCUUUCGCUAGGGACGAAGCUUUUUGUGACGGUACCUAGAUAAGAAGCACCGGCUAACUACGUG